Molecule: unclassified non-coding RNA, 559 nt
Filed under: Expression vector AF286076
Description: ColE1 RNA II
Source: RNAcentral
UCGUGGUGUCACGCUCGUCGUUUGGUAUGGCUUCAUUCAGCUCCGGUUCCCAACGAUCAAGGCGAGUUACAUGAUCCCCCAUGUUGUGCAAAAAAGCGGUUAGCUCCUUCGGUCCUCCGAUCGUUGUCAGAAGUAAGUUGGCCGCAGUGUUAUCACUCAUGGUUAUGGCAGCACUGCAUAAUUCUCUUACUGUCAUGCCAUCCGUAAGAUGCUUUUCUGUGACUGGUGAGUACUCAACCAAGUCAUUCUGAGAAUAGUGUAUGCGGCGACCGAGUUGCUCUUGCCCGGCGUCAAUACGGGAUAAUACCGCGCCACAUAGCAGAACUUUAAAAGUGCUCAUCAUUGGAAAACGUUCUUCGGGGCGAAAACUCUCAAGGAUCUUACCGCUGUUGAGAUCCAGUUCGAUGUAACCCACUCGUGCACCCAACUGAUCUUCAGCAUCUUUUACUUUCACCAGCGUUUCUGGGUGAGCAAAAACAGGAAGGCAAAAUGCCGCAAAAAAGGGAAUAAGGGCGACACGGAAAUGUUGAAUACUCAUACUCUUCCUUUUUCAAUAUUA